GGGUUGCUAACUCAACGGUAGAGUACUCGGCUUUUAAACCGAUUUCAAUUUAACAAGUAAAAUUUCUACUCCAU
RNAcentral lists this transfer RNA (74 nucleotides) under Commiphora gileadensis. RNAcentral describes it as "tRNA-Lys". The record is from RNAcentral. Lineage: Eukaryota; Viridiplantae; Streptophyta; Magnoliopsida; Sapindales; Burseraceae.